This 497-nucleotide ribosomal RNA is filed under the name uncultured bacterium. RNAcentral describes it as "partial 16S ribosomal RNA". It matches the Rfam family "Bacterial small subunit ribosomal RNA", at positions 28 to 507 of the family's 1533-position model. The record is from RNAcentral.
GAUGAACGCUGUCGGCGUGCCUAAUACAUGCAAGUCGAGCGAACAGACGAGGAGCUUGCUCCUCUGACGUUAGCGGCGGACGGGUGAGUAACACGUGGAUAACCUACCUAUAAGACUGGGAUAACUUCGGGAAACCGGAGCUAAUACCGGAUAAUAUAUUGAACCGCAUGGUUCAAUAGUGAAAGACGGUUUUGCUGUCACUUAUAGAUGGAUCCGCGCCGCAUUAGCUAGUUGGUAAGGUAACGGCUUACCAAGGCGACGAUGCGUAGCCGACCUGAGAGGGUGAUCGGCCACACUGUAACUGAGACACGGUCCAGACUCCUACGGGAGGCAGCAGUAGGGAGUCUUCCGCAAUGGGCGAAAGCCUGACGGAGCAACGCCGCGUGAGUGAUGAAGGUCUUCGGAUCGUAAAACUCUGUUAUUAGGGAAGAACAAAUGUGUAAGUAACUAUGCACGUCUUGACGGUACCUAAUCAGAAAGCCACGGCUAACUACGUG